CUACGGGGAUGCUCCAGUGGGGAAUAUUGCACAAUGGAGGAAACUCUGAUGCAGCAACGCCGCGUGGAGGAUGACGCAUUUCGGUGUGUAAACUCCUUUUAUAUGUCAAGAAAAUGACGGUAGCAUAUGAAUAAGCACCGGCUAACUCCGUGCCAGCAGCCGCGGUAAUACGGAGGGUGCAAGCGUUACUCGGAAUCACUGGGCGUAAAGGACGCGUAGGCGGGAUAUCAAGUCAGGUGUGAAAUCCUACAGCUUAACUGUAGAACUGCAUUUGAAACUGGUAACCUAGAGUAUGGGAGGGGGAGAUGGAAUUAGUGGUGUAGGGGUAAAAUCCGUAGAUAUCACUAGGAAUACCUAAAGCGAAGGCGAUCUCCUGGAACAUAACUGACGCUAAGGCGUGAAAGCGUGGGGAGCAAACAGGAUUAGAUACCCCAGUAGUC
Molecule: ribosomal RNA, 440 nt
Filed under: uncultured bacterium
Lineage: Bacteria
Description: partial 16S ribosomal RNA
Rfam family: Bacterial small subunit ribosomal RNA
Source: RNAcentral